This 369-nucleotide ribosomal RNA is filed under the name uncultured eukaryote. Its description in RNAcentral is "SSU rRNA". It matches the Rfam family "Eukaryotic small subunit ribosomal RNA", at positions 587 to 972 of the family's 1831-position model. The record is from RNAcentral.
AGCUCCAAUAGCGUAUACUAAUGUUGUUGCAGUUAAAAAGCUCGUAGUCGGAUUUCAGUAUUAGAUUCUUCUUCCUUAGGGUUGCUUGAAUCUUUACUUCUUUAACAGAAUCUUUCGUCACAUUAACUUGUGGUGUUUGGGGCCUGUUUCUUUUACUUUGAGAAAAUUAGAGUGUUCAAAGCGGGUUUUCGCCUGAAUAUUACUCUUGGAAUAAUAAUAUAGGACUUUGGUUCUUUUUGUUGGUGACUUAGAACCGAAGUAAUGAUUGAUAGGGACAGUUGGGGUCAUUCGUACUAUGAAGCGAGAGGUGAAAUUCUUGGACCUUUGUAUGACGAACUACUGCGAAAGCAUUUGACUAGGAUGUUCCCG